RNAcentral lists this long non-coding RNA (479 nucleotides) under Mus spicilegus (steppe mouse). Its description in RNAcentral is "lncRNA (ENSMSIG00000016974.1)". The record is from RNAcentral. Lineage: Eukaryota; Metazoa; Chordata; Mammalia; Rodentia; Muridae.
UGAGGACAGAGAAGCUAGGAGGCAAGGUGUGUUAGCUUGGGAAGUGGGACUAAAAAGUCAAAGUCUGGAGUGUCAAGAAUCCCGUACCCGACUGAGCUGGGGUUGGGGUUGAGGGGUAGAGCGGCUGCACAGUGUGGAAUCGCGUGGUGGAGACCUGAGUAUGGAGGAAACGGCGGGGCUCGCAGAACCGGAAAACUUACCUAUACCGCAGGACUCACUGAACACCCAGACCUGCUCACCUGUGAAACAUAACAAAGAGCCCUAGAAGGUGGAGAGGGAGGAGACAGUACCUAAGGAUCCAGGUAUGUUGGAGGAUUGGUGAAGGGAUGUCAAGGGAUUCAAGUGAAUGUGGAAGUGGGACAUGAAGUCACUUUUGCCGAAUUCUGUCUCACUAGAAAUAAUUCUGGAGACUUCCACGGACAAAAAACUCCUCAAGAUUAUCCUAUUGUAGAGAUGAGAAGACUUUCUACAGAAAAUUG